UACGAAGGGGGCUAGCGUUGCUCGGAAUCACUGGGCGUAAAGCGCACGUAGGCGGCUUUUUAAGUCAGGGGUGAAAUCCUGGAGCUCAACUCCAGAACUGCCUUUGAUACUGAGAAGCUUGAGUCCGGGAGAGGUGAGUGGAACUGCGAGUGUAGAGGUGAAAUUCGUAGAUAUUCGCAAGAACACCAGUGGCGAAGGCGGAUCACUGGCCCGGUACUGACGCUGAGGUGCGAAAGCGUGGGGAGCAAACAGG
This 253-nucleotide ribosomal RNA is filed under the name uncultured bacterium. RNAcentral describes it as "partial 16S ribosomal RNA". It matches the Rfam family "Bacterial small subunit ribosomal RNA", at positions 524 to 776 of the family's 1533-position model. The record is from RNAcentral.